GUUCACAGCCAUACCACCCUGAAUGUGCCUGAUUUCAUCUGAUCUCAGAAGCUAAGUAGGGUAGGGCUUGGUUAGUAGUACUUGGAUGGGAGAAAAUACUGUUCUCUCUCGUUUUACAAAUAAAAGAAGAAGUAAAAG
Ribosomal RNA from Prolemur simus (greater bamboo lemur), 138 nucleotides. Lineage: Eukaryota; Metazoa; Chordata; Mammalia; Primates; Lemuridae. The record is from Ensembl.